UGCGUGCCGCGGGGAAUGCCGGGAGCGCGCAGUGGCGGUAGCGGCGGCGACGGCAGUCACAGCGGCGGCUACAACGGGGACGCGAGCGGGGCGGUGACCGUGUGGGAGGUGGUCUCACUCUUGGGGAAGCUGUUAGGCACCGUCGCCGCGCUGAAGGUGGUUCUGUACCUGCUCCGGGUGUGCUUAGCGAUGGCCUGGAAAUCCGGCGGCGCCAGCCACUCGGAGCUAAUCCACAACCUCCGCAAAAAUGGAAUCAUCAAGACAGAUAAAGUAUUUGAAGUAAUGCUGGCCACAGACCGCUCCCACUAUGCAAAAUGUAACCCCUAUAUGGAUUCUCCACAAUCAAUAGGGUUCCAAGCAACAAUCAGUGCUCCACAUAUGCAUGCGUAUGCACUAGAACUUCUCUUUGAUCAAUUGCAUGAAGGAGCUAAAGCUCUUGAUGUAGGAUCUGGAAGUGGAAUCCUUACUGCAUGUUUUGCACGUAUGGUUGGAUCUAGUGGAAAAGUCAUAGGAAUUGACCACAUUAAAGAGCUAGUAGAUGACUCAAUAAAUAAUGUCAGAAAGGACGAUCCAAUGCUUUUGUCUUCAGGGAGAGUGCAGCUGGUUGUGGGGGAUGGAAGAAUGGGAUAUGCCGAAGAAGCACCUUAUGAUGCUAUUCAUGUAGGAGCUGCAGCCCCAGUUGUGCCCCAGGCACUAAUAGACCAGUUAAAGCCUGGUGGAAGAUUGAUAUUGCCAGUUGGUCCUGCAGGUGGAAACCAGAUGUUGGAGCAGUAUGACAAGCUACAAGAUGGCAGUGUCAAAAUGAAACCUCUGAUGGGAGUGAUAUACGUGCCUUUAACAGAUAAAGAAAAGCAGUGGUCCAGGAUUUCCAGUUCUAUGUUGAAUAAAAGUGGCGAGAGUGGGCAUCCUUGUCUUGUUCCUGAUUUUAGAGGAAAAGCUUUCAGCUUUUCACCGUUGAAUGUGAUGUUAGCUGUGGGCUUGUCAUAUGUGGCCUUUAUUAUGCUGAGUUGCUGGUACAGUGCUGCACCUGGCUGAGCGAAUGGUUUCUUUUGGAGCUGAUAAAGCUGCCUUAUGAAAUCAGCUGACAGGGACGAACUGUAAAAGCAACAUCAGCUUGACCAGUAUAUAAUAUUACAGUGGAUUGCUCAUCUCAGUCCUCAAAGCUUUUCGAAAAUCAACAGCAUCACAGCUUGUUUUGGACUUUCUUACACUAUUUUCAGCAUGAAAAUGUGUGGUUUUGUGAAGUUUCUGAUUCUUCAAAGAGGCACAGAAGCCAAAUUGGUAGAAGAAGGGUGCAAAGUAUAAUUUUGUGUAUUAUUACUUUAACAUGCCCACAGUUUACUUUAAAUAUUAAAAGAAGGGGUUCUGCAAAAUGAGGAACUUAGUUCGUCAAUUGAUUUUGAGGAGUGGUUUUUUUCUUUUCUUAGACACAAUUCUGUUCUGCUGUUAAUUUAUCAGAUUGCUUUUGUGCAUCCGGUAACACCACCAUUCACAAGUUAAGAUUCUUGGGUUUUGGAUGUCUGUUAGAUGCUACUAAGAAAAUACAGAUGAGCUUCCUUUUUAAAGCUUUUGAUGUGGUGUCAUAGAAUAGCAUGUUGUAGAUACAAUCAGCUGCUUUGUUACCUUAAAACUAAGCAUUUGUAAAUAUUAAAACUUAAGAAGAUGGCAGGUGAUGUCCCUUAAAACACCCAUCUAUUCACAUUGGACAUAACUGACAUAGUUCUUCCUUUCUCUCUUUAAAAAUUAUAGGAGACUUGUAGCUCAGUAUUGUUUUUUUCUGUUUCUCUUUUGCUGCUGGUAAUGUAUAUGAAUUUAACAUGCUGUAUAAGCUGUGUCCUAGUUACUGAACAGUUUAUGCAGUGCUGCUUUGCCAAAUAAAGUUAAAAGUGAAAGAGGCA
This is an RNA transcript of Camelus dromedarius (Arabian camel), 1898 nucleotides long. It is a transcript of the gene named protein-L-isoaspartate (D-aspartate) O-methyltransferase, with no coding region annotated. The record is from RefSeq and is a predicted model, not a curated record. The transcript has 10 exons. NCBI's taxonomy places the organism in Eukaryota, Metazoa, Chordata, Mammalia, Artiodactyla, Camelidae.